UUUCCGUAGGUGAACCUGCGGAAGGAUCAUUAAUGAGUUGUCAUGGGGUUCGAUGCUGGCAGCCAAUUUUUGGAUGCAUGUGCUUGCCCUAACAAUCAUCUUCCAAACACCUGUGCACAUUUUUGAGGGAGUCUUGAGUUGGUUGCCGCUCUUGGGUAAUUUUCUCACAUUCCCUUAAAUCAUUAUACGCUAUUAACAAUGUUGAACGUGCUCUGUGCCGCAAGGCUAUUAAUAUAAUACAACUUUUAACAACGGAUCUCUUGGCUCUC
RNAcentral lists this unclassified non-coding RNA (269 nucleotides) under plant metagenome. Its description in RNAcentral is "partial contains small subunit ribosomal RNA, internal transcribed spacer 1, and 5.8S ribosomal RNA". The record is from RNAcentral.